Molecule: ribosomal RNA, 369 nt
Filed under: Shigella sonnei
Lineage: Bacteria; Pseudomonadati; Pseudomonadota; Gammaproteobacteria; Enterobacterales; Enterobacteriaceae
Description: bacterial LSU rRNA
Rfam family: Bacterial large subunit ribosomal RNA
Source: RNAcentral
CACCGAAGCUGCGGCAGCGACGCUUAUGCGUUGUUGGGUAGGGGAGCGUUCUGUAAGCCUGCGAAGGUGUGCUGUGAGGCAUGCUGGAGGUAUCAGAAGUGCGAAUGCUGACAUAAGUAACGAUAAAGCGGGUGAAAAGCCCGCUCGCCGGAAGACCAAGGGUUCCUGUCCAACGUUAAUCGGGGCAGGGUGAGUCGACCCCUAAGGCGAGGCCGAAAGGCGUAGUCGAUGGGAAACAGGUUAAUAUUCCUGUACUUGGUGUUACUGCGAAGGGGGGACGGAGAAGGCUAUGUUGGCCGGGCGACGGUUGUCCCGGUUUAAGCGUGUAGGCUGGUUUUCCAGGCAAAUCCGGAAAAUCAAGGCUGAGGC